RNAcentral lists this ribosomal RNA (504 nucleotides) under uncultured bacterium. RNAcentral's name for it is "partial 16S ribosomal RNA". It matches the Rfam family "Bacterial small subunit ribosomal RNA", at positions 30 to 523 of the family's 1533-position model. The record is from RNAcentral.
AUUGAACGCUGGCGGCAUGCCUUACACAUGCAAGUCGAACGGCAGCAUGGAGAGCUUGCUCUCUGAUGGCGAGUGGCGAACGGGUGAGUAAAGCAUCGGAACGUACCGUGUAGUGGGGGAUAACGUAGCGAAAGUUACGCUAAUACCGCAUACGCACUGAGGUGGAAAGCAGGGGAUCGCAAGACCUUGCGCUAUACGAGCGGCCGAUGUCAGAUUAGCUAGUUGGUAGGGUAAAGGCCUACCAAGGCGACGAUCUGUAGCGGGUCUGAGAGGAUGAUCCGCCACACUGGGACUGAGACACGGCCCAGACUCCUACGGGAGGCAGCAGUGGGGAAUUUUGGACAAUGGGGGCAACCCUGAUCCAGCCAUGCCGCGUGAGUGAAGAAGGCCUUCGGGUUGUAAAGCUCCUUCGGCCGGGAAGAAAUCGCACAGGCUAAUACUCUGUGUGGAUGACGGUACCGGCAUAAGAAGCACCGGCUAACUACGUGCCAGCCGCCGCGGUAA